This 248-nucleotide ribosomal RNA is filed under the name uncultured bacterium. Its description in RNAcentral is "partial 16S ribosomal RNA". It matches the Rfam family "Bacterial small subunit ribosomal RNA", at positions 523 to 769 of the family's 1533-position model. The record is from RNAcentral.
AUACGGAGGAUGCGAGCGUUAUCCGGAUUUAUUGGGUUUAAAGGGUGCGUAGGCUGUUAUAUAAGUCAGUGGUGAAAUAUUUCAGCUUAACUGGAAGGGUGCCGUUGAUACUGUCAGGCUUGAAUUUAGUUGCUGUGGGUGGAAUGUGUGGUGUAGCGGUGAAAUGCAUAGAUAUCACACAGAAUAUCGAUUGCGAAGGCAGCUCACAAAGACUAAAAUUGACGCUGAUGCACGAAAGUGUGGGGAUC